Long non-coding RNA from Bacillus rossius redtenbacheri, 1007 nucleotides. RefSeq lists it as uncharacterized. NCBI's taxonomy places the organism in Eukaryota, Metazoa, Arthropoda, Insecta, Phasmatodea, Bacillidae. The record is from RefSeq and is a predicted model, not a curated record. The transcript has 4 exons.
GUUAGCAAAUUAGGGUUCGCUUUUGUUUUCAUUUAUUUAUUUUCCAAAUUUAGUGAGAAAUUAAAUGAAACACGUACCUUUUGAGCUGCGAGCGGGCAAAAGCGGUACGUGGUGUGCGCAUGCGCAUAUUAUUCUGUACCGUCAACGCUUAGAUGCGUUGCUUCCAUUACAGGAUAGAUAGCGUUACAUACCCCGUGAGCGGCUACUUACGCUUCGAUUUGCUUCCAACGCAUUUGUUUCUAGCGUAAUUAGCUGCUUUGCGUCCGUACUUGCUUCAGCUUAGAACACGGUUUGUAAAUUACUCACGUAAUAUUCUCGUGAAAGAAAAAAAACAUGGAUCUGAAGAAAAAUCUUUGAUGAUUCUGCUUUUCGCUUUCCUGACAUCGGUUUCGUGGUCUGUAUUUCAGACAAAGGAAAUUUGAGGAGGGAAGUCAUUCAUGUACACGAAGGAAACAAAACGGCGGAAGAUACGGAGUUUACAAUCGUCAAGAGACGGCGUGCGGUGAGUGAGAUGAAGUCACUUUCCACCACACCUUGCCGCAUCGAACACCCGAAACAUUGCGGAAACGGUUCCUGACCACAGGGGUGUACAUGUGUCAGUUUCAGGUCCUGGAAGAUCACGAGUACCAACUUCUGGAAGACGAAACCCACCAGUUCGCGGAUGCGACGACUUCCGUGAAGAAGUCGGAACGCUGCCUCGCGGUCUCUUCAGUUCGACGACACUCCGCCAGGGUCCGCUGUGGACCGCGUCGAUGACGUCGAUGACGUCGAUGACUUCGAUGACUUCGAUGACUUCGAUGACGCCAGUUCUCCGCUCACACCAACAACCAGACGUCGCUACGGCUCUUAAUCGAAUGGCAGCGGCGCAUAGGAGAGCGGGAACAUCGUGUUCGCUCGGAUUCUCCAGGAGUUAAUCGAUUACAACCGAACACUGAUUCGAAUUUUUUCUACCAAUUUUGUAUCGAAGUGAAAAAAAAAAAAGAAAAAAAAAACAUUUAUUACAAAAA